AUUCUUUACUUUUUUUUUUUUUUUUUUUUUAAUCUUUCUUUGAUCCUCCAUUCUCCUCGUAUAAGUCUUAUCCUUAGAAGAGUCUAAUUAUGGAUACAUGAAUCUAUGGCGUAAAACCAUCAUUCUACACAAAAUUUAAUUACAUCCUAAGGUCAUUGUGUCUUAGAUUCCCUUAAAUACACACUAGUUCCAUAAGCAUAUUAUCGAUUCAAUCUAAUUGCUCAUUUUAUUAUAAUAGAUUCAUAUUUAAUUCAUGGCUUGUAAUUUCUCCUAUUAACCAUUAGUCAAUCUUAUCCAUAUUAAUCAAUUUUAAAUUCAAACUAUUGUCCAAUUAUUUACUCACCCCUUUUAAUCCUAUAUUGAAACAACCAAAAUCUUACCCUUCAUACUAGUUGUGCAAAGGAAGUUUUACCAGCUUUUUUUUUUUUUUUUUUUUUUCCAAUAAGCAAAUAAUAAAACCUUUUUCUCAAAUCAAUAUUCAAAUAAAAUCACUUUCAUAUUGUCUUUAAAACUUCGAAUUCUUUACCAAAUAAGUUCGAAUAAUUUUCGAAGCAGUGUCUCUUGUCGAAUCAUGGUGUACUGGGUGAUCAGGCCAUUACACCAAUUUCCAACUGAUCUUCUGCUUCAAAAUAGAUGGAGGGGGGUUUAGCAAAACUCAAUAUAUUUAUUUUAUAAACGUCAGUUACCCGGACCUUUUUAUGAUUUACUAUUAUUUAUGUACCUUUAGUUCUCAUCCUAAGAUUCAUACAGAUUUCCUUCCAUCCUCGUGCACGAUGCGUCCACCGGCACUAAAAUGGAAUUCAAUCCAGACUACAUCUCCUUUGUUGGUUACGGCCGAUCCCAACAUAGGAGCUCUAUAUUAAUUUCCUAUGUUCCGCAAUUGAUUCCUAAAGCCCAAUUUAUGCUCUGAUACCAACUUUGUCACGACCCAUUUCCAUGGACCGGACCGGCACUAGGACCUGGGUGGGCUUAAGGCCCCCGAAGCCCGUAGUAAGCCUAUAUUAUGCAAAUCUCAUUUACUAUUCAUAACUGUGGAUACAUGCCUAAUAAUUUAUUUCAAUUAUGUAUCACUAGUACAGUUCAUCUACAACCCACUAGAAUACAAUUGCGGAACUCUACCUGUACAUUUACAUCAUCAUUUAUUUAUCGUUUACAGUCUUCUAUACUUAUGUCUCAACUCCAUAGGAUUUUUCUUUCUUCUAUUAC
RNAcentral lists this long non-coding RNA (1206 nucleotides) under Jatropha curcas. RNAcentral's name for it is "long non-coding RNA (JCUR_LNC002260)". Lineage: Eukaryota; Viridiplantae; Streptophyta; Magnoliopsida; Malpighiales; Euphorbiaceae. The record is from RNAcentral.